GUGCCAGCAGCCGCGGUAAUACGUAGGUGGCAAGCGUUAUCCGGAAUUAUUGGGCGUAAAGCGCGCGUAGGCGGUUUUUUAAGUCUGAUGUGAAAGCCCACGGCUCAACCGUGGAGGGUCAUUGGAAACUGGAAAACUUGAGUGCAGAAGAGGAAAGUGGAAUUCCAUGUGUAGCGGUGAAAUGCGCAGAGAUAUGGAGGAACACCAGUGGCGAAGGCGACUUUCUGGUCUGUAACUGACGCUGAUGUGCGUAAGCGUGGGGAUCAAACAGGAUUAGAUA
Molecule: ribosomal RNA, 280 nt
Filed under: uncultured Staphylococcus sp.
Lineage: Bacteria; Bacillati; Bacillota; Bacilli; Caryophanales; Staphylococcaceae
Description: partial 16S ribosomal RNA
Rfam family: Bacterial small subunit ribosomal RNA
Source: RNAcentral